GGCAUGCCUUACACAUGCAAGUCGAACGGUAACAGGUCUUCGGAUGCUGACGAGUGGCGAACGGGUGAGUAAUACAUCGGAACGUGCCCGAUCGUGGGGGAUAACGAGGCGAAAGCUUUGCUAAUACCGCAUACGAUCUACGGAUGAAAGCGGGGGAUCUUCGGACCUCGCGCGGACGGAGCGGCCGAUGGCAGAUUAGGUAGUUGGUGGGAUAAAAGCUUACCAAGCCGACGAUCUGUAGCUGGUCUGAGAGGAUGAUCAGCCACACUGGGACUGAGACACGGCCCAGACUCCUACGGGAGGCAGCAGUGGGGAAUUUUGGACAAUGGGCGAAAGCCUGAUCCAGCCAUGCCGCGUGCAGGAUGAAGGCCUUCGGGUUGUAAACUGCUUUUGUACGGAACGAAAAGCCUCUUUCUAAUAAAGAGGGGUCAUGACGGUACCGUAAGAAUAAGCACCGGCUAACUACGUGCCAGCAGCCGCGGUAAUACGUAGGGUGCAAGCGUUAA
This 506-nucleotide ribosomal RNA is filed under the name uncultured bacterium. RNAcentral describes it as "bacterial SSU rRNA". It matches the Rfam family "Bacterial small subunit ribosomal RNA", at positions 41 to 543 of the family's 1533-position model. The record is from RNAcentral.